Molecule: ribosomal RNA, 253 nt
Filed under: uncultured bacterium
Lineage: Bacteria
Description: partial 16S ribosomal RNA
Rfam family: Bacterial small subunit ribosomal RNA
Source: RNAcentral
UACGUAGGUGGCAAGCGUUGUCCGGAUUUACUGGGCGUAAAGGGAGCGUAGGUGGAUAUUUAAGUGGGAUGUGAAAUACUCGGGCUUAACCUGGGUGCUGCAUUCCAAACUGAAUAUCUAGAGUGCAGGAGAGGAAAGUAGAAUUCCUAGUGUAGCGGUGAAAUGCGUAGAGAUUAGGAAGAAUACCAGUGGCGAAGGCGACUUUCUGGACUGUAACUGACAAUGAGGCUCGAAAGAGUGGGGAGCAAACAGG